Non-coding RNA from Equus caballus (horse), 380 nucleotides. Lineage: Eukaryota; Metazoa; Chordata; Mammalia; Perissodactyla; Equidae. The record is from RefSeq and is a predicted model, not a curated record.
CGGCGUCUUCGCAUCAUGUAGGAGACCUGUGAUUGGGAGGAGAAAGGAGGAAUGAGUACCAUCUGCCAUGCCCUUUGCUUUCCUCAACACCUCUAUUUCAGGCCCUUUGAUUCUAUUCUCCCUCUUCCUGGACCUUUGAGCUGAAAGGAACAGGAAUAAAUAUCAGAAUCUCCAUCUUUCCAUAAUAUUCCAGUUCCAUCCCAAAUGUAACUUUCUGAGAGACUGAGGAUGAUUGAUCUCACAGCUCCCAACAAGGUGCCUGAGAAGCUGUCAACCUCUGUUUUAUAGCUGAGUAACUUGAGUUGUCAUGGAGGAAUGGUGACUUGCACAGAAUUGCACAGCAAUGACAAGAGCCAACAAUUCUUGAGCAUUUACUAUGA